AACGAACGCUGGCGGCAGGCCUAAAACAUGCAAGUCGAGCGGGCAUAGCAAUAUGUCAGCGGCGGACGGGUGAAUAACACGCGGGAACAUGCCCUUUGGUACGGAACAACUCAGGGAAACUUGAGCUAAUACCGUAUGUGCCGGUAACGGGAAAGAUUUAUCGCCAAAGGAUUGGCCCGCGUCCGAUUAGCUAGUUGGUGAGGUAACGGCUCACCAAGGCGACGAUCGGUAGCUGGUUUGAGAGAACGAUCAGCCACACUGGGACUGAGACACGGCCCAGACUCCUACGGGAGGCAGCAGUUGGGAAUCUUGGACAAUGGGGGAAACCCUGAUCCAGCCAUGCCGCGUGAGCGAUGAAGGCCUUCGGUUGUAAGUA
RNAcentral lists this ribosomal RNA (376 nucleotides) under uncultured bacterium. Its description in RNAcentral is "bacterial SSU rRNA". It matches the Rfam family "Bacterial small subunit ribosomal RNA", at positions 29 to 432 of the family's 1533-position model. The record is from RNAcentral.